GAUGAACGCUGGCGGCGUGCCUAAUACAUGCAAGUCGAGCGAACAGAUGAGGAGCUUGCUCCUCUGACGUUAGCGGCGGACGGGUGAGUAACACGUGGAUAACCUACCUAUAAGACUGGGAUAACUACGGGAAACCGGAGCUAAUACCGGAUAAUAUAUUGAACCGCAUGGUUCAAUAGUGAAAGACGGUUUUGCUGUCACUUAUAGAUGGAUCCGCGCCGCAUUAGCUAGUUGGUAAGGUAACGGCUUACCAAGGCAACGAUGCGUAGCCGACCUGAGAGGGUGAUCGGCCACACUGGAGCUGAGACACGGUCCAGACUCCUACGGGAGGCAGCAGUAGGGAAUCUUCCGCAAUGGGCGAAAGCCUGACGGAGCAACGCCGCGUGAGUGAUGAAGGUCUUCGGAUCGUAAAACUCUGUUAUUAGGGAAGAACAAAUGUGUAAGUAACUAUGCACGUCUUGACGGUACCUAAUCAGAAAGCCACGGCUAACUACGU
RNAcentral lists this ribosomal RNA (496 nucleotides) under uncultured bacterium. RNAcentral's name for it is "partial 16S ribosomal RNA". It matches the Rfam family "Bacterial small subunit ribosomal RNA", at positions 28 to 506 of the family's 1533-position model. The record is from RNAcentral.